Molecule: ribosomal RNA, 460 nt
Filed under: uncultured bacterium
Lineage: Bacteria
Description: partial 16S ribosomal RNA
Rfam family: Bacterial small subunit ribosomal RNA
Source: RNAcentral
CCUACGGGGGGCAGCAGUGAGGAAUAUUGGUCAAUGGACGAGAGUCUGACCCAGCCACGUCGCGUGAAGGAUGAAUGCCCUCUGGGUUGUAAACUUCUUUUAUAUGGGAAUAAAAUGUUCCACGUGUGGGAUUUUGUAUGUACCAUAUGAAUAAGGAUCGGCUAACUCCGUGCCAGCAGCCGCGGUACUACGGAGGAUCCGAGCGUUAUCCGGAUGUAUUGGGUUUAAGGGGAGCGUAGGUGGAGUGUUAAGUCAGUUGUGAACGUUUGCGGCUCAACCGUAAAAUUGCAGGUGAAACUGGCAGUCUUGAGUACAGUAGAGGAUGGCGGAAUUCGUGGUGUAGCGGUGAAAUGCUUAGAUAUCACGAAGAACUCCGAUUGCGAAGGCAGCUCACUGGACUGCAACUGACACUGAGGCUCGAAAGUGUGGGUAUCAAACAGGAUUAGAUACCCCUGUAGUC